GACGAACGCUGGCGGCGUGCUUAACACAUGCAAGUCGAACGGGCCCGCUCUCUUUUUUGGGGUUGGGUUGAGUGGCGAACGGGUGAGUAACACGUGAGUAACCUGCCCCCUGCUCCUGGAUAACUGCUUGAAAGGGCGGCUAAUACGGGGUGUGCCUGCUGGUCCGCAUGGGUCUGGUCGGGAUAGUUUCAUCUUCGGGAGUUUUGGUGGGGGAUGGGCUCGCGGCCUAACAGCUUGUAGGUGCGGUGAUGGCCAACCAAGGCCGUGAGGGGUAGCCGGAGUGGGAGAGUGGCCGGCCCGGCUGGGAGUGAGACACGGGCCACACACCGGAGGGAGGCAGCGGUGAGGGGUAUUGCAGAGUGGGAGGAAGACUGAUGCAGCGACGUCGCGUGAAGAAUGGCGGCCUUCGGGUUGUGAACCUCUUUCUCGAGUGGUGAAGGCGCUGGCAGCUGCGGCGGGGUUGACGGUAGCCGAGUAUGAAGCGACGGCUAACUACGUG
Molecule: ribosomal RNA, 499 nt
Filed under: uncultured bacterium
Lineage: Bacteria
Description: partial 16S ribosomal RNA
Rfam family: Bacterial small subunit ribosomal RNA
Source: RNAcentral